AGCCCAGAGAUCUGCCCCAGGCUGAACCACAAAGUACGUCAACCAGAAGUCAGCAGGAUGGCCUAACUAGUACCACAGAGACAUCAGUGGAGGCAUUUCAGGGACCUGGCACCGAGUGCAAAAGAGACACCACAAAGUAUACCAGAGGAAUUUGUGAGAAUGAUCUACAGCUUGAAGUAGAAAAAUUACUGGAGGCAUCUUUGUCCACAAAUACAAAAUACAAAAUUGUCGUACAGUACUGGAUUUGAAUCAUUUCAAAAGUUUCGUUACUCUUUUAAUUAUGAACAAAUCUGGCCACCACCAUUAAAUCAUAUAGUGCAGUUUGUGGCAUUCUUGUCAUGUUCAGGCUAUUCAUAUUCAACAGCUAGGUCAUAUGUUGCUGCCAUCAGUUUUCACUGUAAGUUAAAGAAUCUUCA
Molecule: long non-coding RNA, 416 nt
Organism: Saccostrea echinata
Lineage: Eukaryota; Metazoa; Mollusca; Bivalvia; Ostreida; Ostreidae
Exons: 2
Source: RefSeq, a predicted model, not a curated record